AGCUUCCAACCUCAAUACUACUGCUUCUUCUUUCAGUUCCUCUUUUAUUUCAUUUUAUUAUUUUUAUUAGAAUUUUUGGGAUUGGUUUGAUUCUUGAUUUCUUCAAUCAAACAUCUCAGAAAUCAGUAGCUCAAAUCAAUUUCCAUAGAAGCUAUGCAAUCACUCAAUGAUUCAGGAUUAUCUCUGCCAAUUUCAGGAGGAAUUACCCUCCGCCGCC
This 217-nucleotide long non-coding RNA is filed under the name Solanum tuberosum (potato). RNAcentral's name for it is "long non-coding RNA (STUB_LNC006479)". The record is from RNAcentral. Lineage: Eukaryota; Viridiplantae; Streptophyta; Magnoliopsida; Solanales; Solanaceae.